CAGAAGCAGGCCUAUGUUAUCAAAGUUUGCAGUAGCCAGCAGGAAUGUAUCUGGCUGAGGAUGGGUGAAAGUGGUGACUGAUGGGGCAGAGAAGGCCUCAUGGGUAUGCCUAGCUGACAGGGUGAGGAAGAUCUUCACCUGUUCCAUCAGUGCUGCUAUUACUAUCAAGUUGCUCUUCUAUGAUGCUGACAGGGUGAGGAAGAUCUUCACCUGUUCCAUCAGUGCUGCUAUUGCUAUCAAGUUGCUCUUCUAUGAUGCUGACUGGGUGAGACAGGAGAGGAUCUUCACCAGUUCAAGUCAGUGCUGCUAUUACUAUCAACAGUUGCUUUUCUGUGAUGAUACGGAUCCAUGACCUGGCUGAAAGGCUUGCUGCACAGCAGCUCAUCUGGUCCACACCAGUCUGCUGCAUCACCACAUCCCCUGGAAAGGUACUGGUGUGAUGUAAGCAGCCCUGCAUGCCCAUAUUUGUAUGGGAUCCAACUCCUGCCAUCACUGCACACCUGUAUUAUCUUCAUUUACAGGUAGUGAUGAGCAUGGAAGCUGAUGAUUAGAUUAAAAGAAGAGAUGGAAUGAAUGAAUUGUUAGGUAAAUAAAUGCAUAAAUAGGUGGAAAGAUUGUAAAGUUUGGUUUCUAAUAAAUGUUCCUUAUGAGUGAA
RNAcentral lists this long non-coding RNA (655 nucleotides) under Portunus trituberculatus (swimming crab). Its description in RNAcentral is "uncharacterized LOC123503039, transcript variant X1". The record is from RNAcentral. Lineage: Eukaryota; Metazoa; Arthropoda; Malacostraca; Decapoda; Portunidae.